AUUGAACGCUGGCGGCAGGCCUAACACAUGCAAGUCGAGCGGAUGAAGGGAGCUUGCUCCUGGAUUCAGCGGCGGACGGGUGAGUAAUGCCUAUGAAUCUGCCUGGUCGUGGGGGAUAACGUCCGGAAACGGGCGCUAAUACCGCAUACGUCCUGAGGUCGCAAGUGGGGGAUCUUCGGACCUCACGCUAUCAGAUGAGCCUAGGUCGGAUUAGCUAGUUGGUGGGGUAACGGCCUACCAAGGCGACGAUCCGUAACUGGUCUGAGAGGAUGAUCAGUCACACUGGAACUGAGACACGGUACAGACUCCUACGGGAGGCAGCAGUGGGGAAUAUUGGACAAUGGGCGAAAGCCUGAUCCAGCCAAGCCGCGUGUGUGAAGAAGGACUUCGGAUUGUAAAGCACUUUAAGUUGGGAGGAAGGGCAGUAAGUUAAUACCUUGCUGUUUUGACGUUACCAACAGAAUAAGCACCGGCUAACUUCGUG
This 484-nucleotide ribosomal RNA is filed under the name uncultured bacterium. Its description in RNAcentral is "partial 16S ribosomal RNA". It matches the Rfam family "Bacterial small subunit ribosomal RNA", at positions 30 to 507 of the family's 1533-position model. The record is from RNAcentral.